Molecule: ribosomal RNA, 253 nt
Filed under: uncultured bacterium
Lineage: Bacteria
Description: partial 16S ribosomal RNA
Rfam family: Bacterial small subunit ribosomal RNA
Source: RNAcentral
UACGAAGGGGGCUAGCGUUGCUCGGAAUCACUGGGCGUAAAGCGCACGUAGGCGGACUCUUAAGUCAGGGGUGAAAUCCUGGAGCUCAACUCCAGAACUGCCUUUGAUACUGGGAGUCUUGGGUUCGGGAGAGGUGAGUGGAACUGCGAGUGUAGAGGUGAAAUUCGUAGAUAUUCGCAAGAACACCAGUGGCGAAGGCGGCUCACUGGCCCGAUACUGACGCUGAGGUGCGAAAGCGUGGGGAGCAAACAGG